RNAcentral lists this ribosomal RNA (810 nucleotides) under uncultured crenarchaeote. RNAcentral describes it as "bacterial SSU rRNA". It matches the Rfam family "Archaeal small subunit ribosomal RNA", at positions 55 to 872 of the family's 1478-position model. Lineage: Archaea; Thermoproteati; Thermoproteota. The record is from RNAcentral.
GAGUCAACUCCGCAAGGGGUGGCGCACGGCUCAGUAACACGUAGUCAACCUACCCUAGGGACGGGGAUAACCUCGGGAAACUGAGGCUAAACCCCGAUAGGCUAUAGCCUCUGGAAUGAGCUAUAGCUGAAAUCUAUAUGGCCCUAGGAUGGGACUGCGGCCGAUCAGGUAGUUGGUGGGGUAAUGGCCCCACCAAGCCUAUAACCGGUGCGGGCUCUGAGAGGAGGAGCCCGGAGAUGGGCACUGAGACAAGGGCCCAGGUCCUAUGGGGCGCAGCAGGCGCGAAACCUCCGCAAUGGGCGAAAGCCCGACGGGGUUAGUCCGAGUGGUCCCUGCUGAAGGGGCCUUUUGCCAGCUGUAAAAAGGCUGGCGAAUAAGGGGUGGGCAAGUUUGGUGUCAGCCGCCGCGGUAAUACCAGCACCCCGAGUGGUCGGGACGAUUAUUGGGCCUAAAGCAUCCGUAGCCGGCUUAGCAAGUCCUCCGUUAAAUCCAACGGCUUAACCGUUGGGCUGCGGAGGAUACUGCUAAGCUAGGGGGCGGGAGAGGCGAGGGGUAUUCCCAGGGUAGGGGUAAAAUCCGUUGAUCCUGGGAGGACCACCAGUGGCGAAGGCGCCUCGCUAGAACGCGCCCGACGGUGAGGGAUGAAAGCUGGGGGAGCGAACCGGAUUAGAUACCCGGGUAGUCCCAGCCGUAAACGAUGUAGGCUCGAUGUUGGGUUACCCAAGUGGUAGCCCGGUGUCGCGGGGAAGCCGUUAAGCCUACCGCCUGGGGAGUACGGCCGCAAGGCGUGAAACUUAAAGGAAUGGCGGG